ACUCAAAUGAAUUGACGGGGACCCGCACAAGCAGCGGAGCGUGUGGUUUAAUUCGAUGCGACGCGAAGAACCUUACCUGGGUUCAAUCUAGUUUGCACCACCCGUAAUGGGGUGUACCCGCAAGGGACGGACUAGACGGUGCUGCAUGGCUGUCGUCAGCUCGUGCCGUGAGGUGUUGGGUUAAGUCCCCUAACGAGCGCAACCCCCGAUGUCGGUUACCAAUCCGGCGUGACUGCCGCGCAGAACGCGGAGGAAGGUGGGGAUGACGUCAAGUCAGCACGGCCCUUACGCCCAGGGCUACACACACGCUACAAUGGCCGGUACAAUGAGUUGCAAGCCCGCGAGGGGGAGCUAAUCUAAAAAGCCGGUCUCAGUUCGGAUAGUAGGCUGCAACCCGCCUACUUGAAGUCGGAGUUGCUAGUAAACGCAGGUCAGCACACUGCGUUGAAUACGUUCCCGGGUCUUGUACACACCGCCCGU
RNAcentral lists this ribosomal RNA (480 nucleotides) under uncultured bacterium. Its description in RNAcentral is "partial 16S ribosomal RNA". It matches the Rfam family "Bacterial small subunit ribosomal RNA", at positions 899 to 1397 of the family's 1533-position model. The record is from RNAcentral.